Molecule: ribosomal RNA, 344 nt
Filed under: uncultured eukaryote
Lineage: Eukaryota
Description: SSU rRNA
Rfam family: Eukaryotic small subunit ribosomal RNA
Source: RNAcentral
CCAGCAGCCGCGGUAAUUCCAGCUCCAAGAGCGUAUAUUAAAGUUGUUGCAGUUAAAAAGCUCGUAGUUGGAUUUCUGGUAGAAUGCGCCUGGCCCGCUGCCGUUAGGUACGUGAGUGCCGGUGCGCGUUUACCAUCCUUCCAGAGAACACGUCUGCCAUUCACUUGGAUUGGAUGUUGAUUUCUGGAUCUUUUACUUUGAAAAAAUUAGAGUGUUUAAAGCAGGCCUUUGCUGUGAAUACAUUAGCAUGGAAUAAUAAUCUAGGACUUCGGUUCUAUUUUGUUGGUUUCUAGUACUGAAGUAAUGAUUGAUAGGGAUAGUUGGGGGUGCUAGUAUUGGCCGGC